Syzygium oleosum is the source of this 987-nucleotide long non-coding RNA. RefSeq lists it as uncharacterized. NCBI's taxonomy places the organism in Eukaryota, Viridiplantae, Streptophyta, Magnoliopsida, Myrtales, Myrtaceae. The record is from RefSeq and is a predicted model, not a curated record. The transcript has 4 exons.
CGACUCUCUCCCUCCGGCGCUCACUCUACGCUCGGGCGUUCGCUCCGUCUCUGCUUCGGCACAGCUUUCCUUCGCUGGGUAGCCGAGAUCAGGGGAUCCCAUUUUGACUUCAUUCAGGUUUGAAGGGAUGAUCAGUCCGAGCCAAGGGCAAGCGGCAUUGCUGACAUUCUGCUCCUGCAUUGGCCUUGCUAGCGUUGGCCUUGUUGUUACAAUAACUGUUCCGGGUAACAACUAGUUUUGGAUCAUUGCAUUGAGCUUUCCUUGAAGAGUCUGAGUUCUAGUGUUCCUCAUUUCUGAAGAACGGAAAUCACGCGUGAAUAUUCUGAACCCUUGAUAUGAUAUUUUGCAGUGGUUCUUUUAGAAGAGGGCAUCGAGGAAGGAGCAAAUUAAGGUAAAGAUGUGGUGGAAGACGGGACGCUAUCAGAGAUUGUUGUUCAGGGGGAUGAUCAGCAAGUAGAGCAGAUGAGGAAGGAGCUUCAGCUCAGUGAGAAGGGAAUGGUUUAUGUAAAAGGCAUAUUCGAGAGAUGACCAACACCCACAGCAAUACUUGCUACAGGGCCAUGUUAUUUCUAGGAAGGUUAAUUCUGAUGCUAAGGUGGAUACCAUGCAGACUCUGCCCAACCUAAAUGAAGAUGAGCUGCCCCAAUUUGAACAAGCCUGGAAGAAAAAUGCUAGAAUUUUCCUGGUUGGAGCGAGCAUUUUGAUGGCCAUGUUGGACGGGCCGCAGUCAAGCAUUGCCUUUGUUGGACAAGGAUCGUGAAGAGAGGGAGGGAAAACAAAUGUGAAUUGUGUCUGAGCUAUUAUGGUCCACUGUCAUGAUAAUUUAUGAGUAGGAGCAGAAUGACGGGUGGUCUGGAGCUUACUUGACCAAGAAUUCGCCCUGCAAUCUUUAUGGUUGGUCCAGGCUGAAUGUGUUGUCUGCUGAUGUAUUAAAAUAGGAAGCAAGGGAAUAAGGUUUAUAAGAUAAAAUGUAAUUCAUUGCUUGUC